RNAcentral lists this ribosomal RNA (510 nucleotides) under uncultured bacterium. Its description in RNAcentral is "bacterial SSU rRNA". It matches the Rfam family "Bacterial small subunit ribosomal RNA", at positions 30 to 518 of the family's 1533-position model. The record is from RNAcentral.
CGAACGCUGGCGGCGUGCUUAACACAUGCAAGUCGAACGCGAAAGGGACUUCGGUCCUGAGUAAAGUGGCGGCACGGGUGAGUAACGCGUAGAUAACCUGUCUUCAUGUCUGGAAUAAUACGCCGAAAGGGGUACUAAUACCGGAUAUUCUUGCUUUUCAUAAGUUAUGCAAGCAAAGGUGGCCUCUGCAUAUGCUACUGCAUGAAGAGGGGUCUGCGUACCAUUAGCUAGUAGGUGGGGUAAUGGCCUACCUAGGCGACGAUGGUUAGCGGGUCUGAGAGGAUGAUCCGCCACACUGGCACUGGAACACGGGCCAGACUCCUACGGGAGGCAGCAGUGAGGAAUAUUGCGCAAUGGGGGAAACCCUGACGCAGCGACGCCGCGUGAGUGAGGAAAGGCCUUCGGGUCGUAAAGCUCUGUCAAGAGGAAAGAAGUGUACAAUGGCUAAUACCUGUUGUAUUUGACGGUACCUCUAAAGGAAGCACCGGCUAACUCCGUGCCAGCAGCAGC